CUGUCGUCAGCUCGUGUCGUGAGAUGUUGGGUUAAGUCCCGCAACGAGCGCAACCCUUGCCUUUAGUUGCCAGCAGUUCGGCUGGGCACUCUAAAGGGACUGCCGGUGUUAAACCGGAGGAAGGUGGGGAUGACGUCAAGUCCUCAUGGCCUUUAUGACCAGGGCUACACACGUACUACAAUGGCCGAUACAAAGGGCAGCGACACUGCGAGGUGAGGCCAAUCCCGUAAAAUCGGUCUCAGUCCGGAUUGGAGUCUGCAACUCGACUCCAUGAAGUUGGAAUCGCUAGUAAUCGUGGAUCAGCAUGCCACGGUGAAUACGUUCCCGGGCCUU
Molecule: ribosomal RNA, 333 nt
Filed under: uncultured Desulfobulbus sp.
Lineage: Bacteria; Pseudomonadati; Thermodesulfobacteriota; Desulfobulbia; Desulfobulbales; Desulfobulbaceae
Description: bacterial SSU rRNA
Rfam family: Bacterial small subunit ribosomal RNA
Source: RNAcentral